ACCAGAUAAAGUGAUAUAGACAAUGAGAAAGUUUGAAUAAAAAACAAAACCAGAUUGUAUUCCACCAUCAAAAAAGCGAUAUAGACAGCAGCGCAAACAUAAACUGUGCCACCGAAAGGAAACUGAUUGAAAUCUUUAAUUUUUGACAUAUAAAAACCCCACCAGACAUACCCCAAACUCUUUCUUCCCAAGCAAAUUUAUCUUAUAUAGUCAGUUCUAUAAAUCUUUGUCUUUUUUUGUGUUUAUUUUCAGUUGCAGUUUGCAAAUAUGAGUGACCCCAAGUAUGCUUAUCCCUACCCUGCUCAAGGUUAUUAUCAAGGGCCCCCGGUGAUGGCACCACCACAAUAUGCUGCUCCACCUCCACCACCAAGGAGAGAACUUGGUUUCCUUGAGGGCUGUCUUGCAGCUUUGUGUUGCUGCUGUCUCAUUGAUGAGUGUUGCUGUGAUCCUUCCAUCAUCUUUGUGAGCUGAUAACGUCUGUAAUUACACUGCAUCAUUAAUCCCACUUUUAUAUUUUUUUUCUGAUAUAGAUUGAUAAAAUGUAAUGUAAUGCAGAAAGUCUGAUCUUAAGGAAUCUUUUUAAUAAUUUAU
This is a non-coding RNA of Durio zibethinus, 591 nucleotides long. The record is from RefSeq and is a predicted model, not a curated record. NCBI's taxonomy places the organism in Eukaryota, Viridiplantae, Streptophyta, Magnoliopsida, Malvales, Malvaceae.